This 515-nucleotide ribosomal RNA is filed under the name uncultured bacterium. Its description in RNAcentral is "partial 16S ribosomal RNA". It matches the Rfam family "Bacterial small subunit ribosomal RNA", at positions 28 to 523 of the family's 1533-position model. The record is from RNAcentral.
GAUGAACGCUGGCGGCGUGCCUAAUACAUGCAAGUCGAGCGAAUGGAUUAAGAGCUUGCUCUUAUGAAGUUAGCGGCGGACGGGUGAGUAACACGUGGGUAACCUGCCCAUAAGACUGGGAUAACUCCGGGAAACCGGGGCUAAUACCGGAUAAUAUUUUGAACUGCAUGGUUCAAAAUUGAAAGGCGGCUUCGGCUGUCACUUAUGGAUGGACCCGCGUCGCAUUAGCUAGUUGGUGAGGUAACGGCUCACCAAGGCAACGAUGCGUAGCCGACCUGGGAGGGUGAUCGGCCACACUGGGAAUGAGACACGGCCCAGACGCCUACGGGAGGCAGCAGUAGGGAAUCUUCCGCAAUGGACGAAAGUCUGACGGAGAAACGCCGCGUGAGUGAUGAAGGCUUUCGGGUCGUAAAACUCUGUUGUUAGGGAAGAACAAGUGCUAGUUGAAUAAGCUGGCACCUUGACGGUACCUAACCAGAAAGCCACGGCUAACUACGUGCCAGCCGCCGCCGUAA